This 1284-nucleotide ribosomal RNA is filed under the name Arthrobacter bambusae. RNAcentral describes it as "bacterial SSU rRNA". It matches the Rfam family "Bacterial small subunit ribosomal RNA", at positions 56 to 1353 of the family's 1533-position model. The record is from RNAcentral. Lineage: Bacteria; Bacillati; Actinomycetota; Actinomycetes; Micrococcales; Micrococcaceae.
UGCAGUCGACGAUGAUCCGGUGCUUGCCCCGGGGAUUAGUGGCGAACGGGUGAGUAACACGUGAGUAACCUGCCCUUGACUCUGGGAUAAGCCUGGGAAACUGGGUCUAAUACCGGAUAUGACUAUCUGGCGCAUGCCAUGGUGGUGGAAAGCUUUUGCGGUUUUGGAUGGACUCGCGGCCUAUCAGCUUGUUGGUGGGGUAAUGGCCUACCAAGGCGACGACGGGUAGCCGGCCUGAGAGGGUGACCGGCCACACUGGGACUGAGACACGGCCCAGACUCCUACGGGAGGCAGCAGUGGGGAAUAUUGCACAAUGGGCGAAAGCCUGAUGCAGCGACGCCGCGUGAGGGAUGACGGCCUUCGGGUUGUAAACCUCUUUCAGUAGGGAAGAAGCGAAAGUGACGGUACCUGCAGAAGAAGCGCCGGCUAACUACGUGCCAGCAGCCGCGGUAAUACGUAGGGCGCAAGCGUUAUCCGGAAUUAUUGGGCGUAAAGAGCUCGUAGGCGGUUUGUCGCGUCUGCUGUGAAAGACCGGGGCUCAACUCCGGUUCUGCAGUGGGUACGGGCAGACUAGAGUGAUGUAGGGGAGACUGGAAUUCCUGGUGUAGCGGUGAAAUGCGCAGAUAUCAGGAGGAACACCGAUGGCGAAGGCAGGUCUCUGGGCAUUAACUGACGCUGAGGAGCGAAAGCAUGGGGAGCGAACAGGAUUAGAUACCCUGGUAGUCCAUGCCGUAAACGUUGGGCACUAGGUGUGGGGGACAUUCCACGUUUUCCGCGCCGUAGCUAACGCAUUAAGUGCCCCGCCUGGGGAGUACGGCCGCAAGGCUAAAACUCAAAGGAAUUGACGGGGGCCCGCACAAGCGGCGGAGCAUGCGGAUUAAUUCGAUGCAACGCGAAGAACCUUACCAAGGCUUGACAUGAACCGGUAACGCCUGGAAACAGGUGCCCCGCUUGCGGUCGGUUUACAGGUGGUGCAUGGUUGUCGUCAGCUCGUGUCGUGAGAUGUUGGGUUAAGUCCCGCAACGAGCGCAACCCUCGUUCCAUGUUGCCAGCACGUAGUGGUGGGGACUCAUGGGAGACUGCCGGGGUCAACUCGGAGGAAGGUGGGGACGACGUCAAAUCAUCAUGCCCCUUAUGUCUUGGGCUUCACGCAUGCUACAAUGGCCGGUACAAAGGGUUGCGAUACUGUGAGGUGGAGCUAAUCCCAAAAAGCCGGUCUCAGUUCGGAUUGGGGUCUGCAACUCGACCCCAUGAAGUCGGAGUCGCUAGUAAUCGCAGAUCAGC